This 433-nucleotide ribosomal RNA is filed under the name uncultured bacterium. RNAcentral describes it as "partial 16S ribosomal RNA". It matches the Rfam family "Bacterial small subunit ribosomal RNA", at positions 29 to 507 of the family's 1533-position model. The record is from RNAcentral.
AACGAACGCUGGCGGCAUGCCUAACACAUGCAAGUCGAACGAGACCUUCGGGUCUAGUGGCGCACGGGUGCGUAACGCGUGGGAACCUGCCCUUAGGUUCGGAAUAACUCCCCGAAAGGGGUGCUAAUACCGGAUAAUGUCUUCGGACCAAAGAUUUAUCGCCUUUGGAUGGUCCCGCGUUGGAUUAGCUAGUUGGUAGGGUAAAAGCCUACCAAGGCGACGAUCCAUAGCUAGUCUGAGAGGAUGAUCAGCCACACUGGGACUGAGACACGGCCCAGACUCCUACGGGAGGCAGCAGUGGGGAAUAUUGGACAAUGGGCGAAAGCCUGAUCCAGCAAUGCCGCGUGAGUGAUGAAGGCCUUAGGGUUGUAAAGCUCUUUUACCCGGGAUGAUAAUGACAGUACCGGGAGAAUAAGCUCCGGCUAACUCCGUG